CUUUUGUAGAAUGAACCGGCGAGUUACGAUCUGAUGCAAGGUUAAGCAGAAAAUGUGGAGCCGUAGCGAAAGCGAGUCUGAAUAGGGCGAAUGAGUAUUUGGUCGUAGACCCGAAACCAGGUGAUCUACCCUUGGUCAGGUUGAAGUUCAGGUAACACUGAAUGGAGGACCGAACCGACUUACGUUGAAAAGUGAGCGGAUGAACUGAGGGUAGCGGAGAAAUUCCAAUCGAACUUGGAGAUAGCUGGUUCUCUCCGAAAUAGCUUUAGGGCUAGCCUCAAGUGAUGAUUAUUGGAGGUAGAGCACUGUUUGGACGAGGGGCCCCUCUCGGGUUACCGAAUUCAGACAAACUCCGAAUGCCAAAUAAUUUAACUUGGGAGUCAGAAUGUGGGUGAUAAGGUCCAUAUUCGAAAGGGAAACAGCCCAGACCACCAGCUAAGGUCCCAAAAUAUAUGUUAAGUGGAAAAGGAUGUGGCGUUGCCCAGACAACUAGGAUGUUGGCUUAGAAGCAGCCAUCAUUUAAAGAGUGCGUAAUAGCUCACUAGUCGAGUGACACUGCGCCGAAAAUGUACCGGGGCUAAACAUAU
This 587-nucleotide ribosomal RNA is filed under the name Staphylococcus pseudintermedius. RNAcentral's name for it is "partial 23S ribosomal RNA". It matches the Rfam family "Bacterial large subunit ribosomal RNA", at positions 605 to 1191 of the family's 2925-position model. The record is from RNAcentral. Lineage: Bacteria; Bacillati; Bacillota; Bacilli; Caryophanales; Staphylococcaceae.